This 1209-nucleotide long non-coding RNA is filed under the name Homo sapiens (human). RNAcentral describes it as "HSALNT0335913". Lineage: Eukaryota; Metazoa; Chordata; Mammalia; Primates; Hominidae. The record is from RNAcentral.
AAGCGCGUCCCCGCGCAGGCCGUGGGCGCGCACGGCCGCUGCCGCCGUUUGUUCUGGUGGAGGCUGCGAGUGCCUGGGCCUGUGACUCCCGGCUCUCCGCGCGCAGCGUCAGUCUGGGAGGGAAGCUCACAUGGCGGUCCCUAGGAUGCCCUGGACAUCAUUCCGAACAGCACAAUUCAAGGGGAGGCUUUUCCAAAUUAUGCAGCUGGUAAGAGGCAGAAGAGAAGCAAAGGAUGACCAUGAUCUCAGGCUCUUGGGUAACCCCCUCCCACACCAACUCUGAGUUUGUUUAUGGCUUGUUUUGGACAAUAAGACAUUAGCAAAUGAGAUAUAAGUACAGGCUUGAGAAGUACAUGGGCACUGGGGCUUGCUUGCUGGCUGCUCUGUGGAACCUGAGACUACCACGUGAAGAAGAAGUUCGAAGUGCUAGAGGUUGAGAGAACAUGUGCAGCAAAGAUGAAGCAUCCCAGCUGAGAUUCCCCUAGAUCAAUCAGCUUGCCAACUGCCGCAAAAGCGAAUAAAGCCUUCCAAGAGCAUCCAGCUAUAAGCAUUUCUGUAGCCACCUGCGGCAGGAGAAUGGCGUGAACCCGGGAGGUGGAGCUUCCAGUGAGCCGAGAUCGCUCCACUGCACUCCAGCCUGGGCGACAAAGCGAGACUCCGUCUCAAAAAAAAAAAAAAGCCAAAGACCUGAACAGAGACUUCAUCAAAAAAUACGUGUAGGUGGCAAAUAAGCAUAUUGAAAAGAUUGAAAAGAUGCUCCACAUCACAUGUUAUCAGAGAAAUGAAAAUUAAAACAACAACAAGAUACUACCAUACUCCUAUUAUAAUGACCAAAAUCUGGAACACUGACAACACCAAAUGCUAGUGAGGAUGUGGAGCAACAGGAACUCUCAUUCAUUGCUGGUGGGAAUGCAAAAUGGUACAGCCACUUUAGAAGACAAUUUUGGCUGUUUCUUACAAAACUAAACAUAUUCUUACCAUAUUGUCCACAAAUCAUGCUCCUUGGCAUUUACCUAAAGUCAUUUACCUAAAGGAGUUGAAAACUUAUAUGCACACACGUUUACUGCAUUUUUUAUUCAUAAUUGCCAAAACUUGGAAGCAACCAACAUAUUCUUUAGUAGGUGAAUGGAUAAAUAAACUGUAGUUUUUUAGACAAUGGAAUAUUACUCACCACUAAAAUUAAACGAGUUAUCAAGCCAUGAAAAGACA